Molecule: unclassified non-coding RNA, 266 nt
Filed under: Plectosphaerella cucumerina
Lineage: Eukaryota; Fungi; Ascomycota; Sordariomycetes; Glomerellales; Plectosphaerellaceae
Description: sequence contains 5.8S rRNA gene
Source: RNAcentral
GAACGCACAUGGCGCCUUCCAGUAUCCUGGGAGGCAUGCCUGUCCGAGCGUCGUUUCAACCCUCGAGCCCCUGUGGCCCGGCGUUGGGGAUCUGCCACGGCAGGCCCCUAAAACCAGUGGCGGACCCGAAGGGCCCUCUCCUUUGCGCAGUAGCAUUCGCCUCGCAUCGGGAGUCCUCGGCGUCCUGCCUCUAAACCCCCCACAAGCCCGCCUCGGCGGCACCAAGGUUGACCUCGGAUCAGGUAGGAAUACCCGCUGAACUUAAG